Molecule: ribosomal RNA, 252 nt
Filed under: uncultured bacterium
Lineage: Bacteria
Description: partial 16S ribosomal RNA
Rfam family: Bacterial small subunit ribosomal RNA
Source: RNAcentral
UACGUAGGGUGCGAGCGUUAAUCGGAAUACUGGGCGUAAAGCGUGCGCAGGCGGUUCGUUGUGUCGGCGGUGAAAGCCCCGGGCUUAACCUGGGAACGGCCGUUGAAACUGGCGAACUGGAGUGUGGCAGAGGGGGGUGGAAUUCCGCGUGUAGCAGUGAAAUGCGUAGAGAUGCGGAGGAACACCGAUGGCGAAGGCAGCCCCCUGGGCUAACACUGACGCUCAGGCACGAAAGCGUGGGGAGCAAACAGG